Molecule: RNA transcript, 762 nt
Organism: Argentina anserina (silverweed cinquefoil)
Lineage: Eukaryota; Viridiplantae; Streptophyta; Magnoliopsida; Rosales; Rosaceae
Gene name: peptidyl-prolyl cis-trans isomerase FKBP12
Exons: 3
Source: RefSeq, a predicted model, not a curated record
CUCCAAGUACUGCUCGUUCAGAUUCGGUAAAAGCGGCAAGGAUGCCAAGGGUGCCGGAAUCUAUGCAACUCAAUCCGGUGGUGAGCUUGGUAAAGAUAAUGCAGAGCAGAUGGGAGUGGAGAAGCAAGUUCUGAAGGCUGGAACAGGUCCCAAACCGGUGGCAGGGCAGAAUGUGACGGUUCAUUGUACGGGUUAUGGAAAAAAUGGUGAUUUAAAUGUGAAGUUUUGGAGCACUAAGGACCCGGGGCAGCAGCCUUUCACCUUCAGAAUUGGGCAAGGCUCUGUUAUAAAGGGGUGGGACGAAGGAGUCCUUGGAAUGCAAGUGGGAGAAGUUGCACGAUUGCGGUGCUCUCCGGAUUAUGCUUAUGGAGCUAGUGGAUUUCCUGCUUGGGGGAUACAACCUAAUUCAGUUUUGGAUUUUGAGAUUGAGGUACUAAGAUUGGAGUGACAUCAGAGCAGGUGAGUUGGGGUAUCUUCGAAUCCAUAUUGUUACUAACAAGAUGCAGGACUAAGUAGAUUCAAGAACAGGUAGAAGAAAAGGUGGCAAACAAGCGUGUGCUUAUCUCAAAUCUGGCUGGUGUUAGUGACUGUACUCUUGAUUUCCACUCCUUAAGGCAUUGAUAGUGAAUUCAGAUAUGUUUUUAAAUGAUACUGUGGACAGCUCAGAGAUGUAAUAAACUCUUGCUUUUCUAAUAAGUAGCUCAUGGACUAAUUAGAUGGAUUUGACCUCUGUAUUGGCAAUCAACUCUCAUGGUUUGAGGA